GAAUUUCUGAAAGUGAGCCUUAGGCAAAAGGUUGGAAACUUGUGCUGGAAACUUACCUUAUGAUUAAGCAUGUGACUCCCACGGGACUUAAUUCUCUUCCAGUCCCAAGGGUUCCAAGGCCAGAGAAAGGUCCUGGUCUUGAUUGCUGGCAUGUUUACUCUUCCAAGUACACUGAGAUCAAAUGCAAAGACAAACCAUCAAAGGUGAUUCUGGGUAUUAUGACCAUUCCUGCAGAAAAUAACUCUAAAAUCUGGACAUGAUACACAAAGUGACUGCCUAAAGGAGCUGAAGAGAGGACAUAAGUGGAUCGCCUCUGCUGUUGCAUGUUGGCUUGGAGAACAGAAGAUGAGGAGCCAAAUAAGCAAGUCCUUCAGCCCCAGGCUUCUAGCACGGGGCUGCAUGUAGGCUAUGCAUUCUGGGGAGUGAGGAGAUCAUGAAUGCUGAAAAUAAAUGAAGGAAUCCAGAAAAGCAAGAGUCAAAGAAGGCAUCUGCAGGCCAAAUCUCUGAUCAACCCCUGACCCACAUACACACAAAAUACACUCAAAGCAGCUCAGCUAAAGACAAAGAUCUGCACUCAGAGUAGAGCUGCCUCCCCAGAAACAGAGCUCGCAGUUCAGGCCCAGCAAGAAAAUUACCUGCAAAACACAGGAAAAACAACACUCAUCAGAGAAAAAGAACAGAAUCUGGAAUCUUCACAACCUAGCAUUCAUCAUAUCCAAGAUUGAAACCCAAAUUAUGGGACAUAUUUAAAAACCAGGAAAAUGGAACGUAGUCUUAAGAGAAAAGUCAAUCAAAUCUGACCUGGAGAUGAAUAAUAUAUUGAAACUUAAAGGGCAAGGGUUUUAAUUUUUGUUUUCUUGUUUUUUUUCUGUUUGUUUGUUUGUUUUUGUUUUUGUUUUUUGAGAUGGAAUCUUGCUCUGUCGCCCAGGCUGGAGUGCAGUGGCGCAAUCUUGGCUCACUGCAGCCUCUGCCUCCUGGGUUCAAGCAAUUCUCCUGUCUCAGCCUUCCGAGUAGCUGGGACUACAGGCGCACGCCACCACACCCAGCUAAUUUUUGUGUUUUUAGUAGAGACAGGGUUUCACCAUAUUGGUCAGGCUGGUCUUAAACUCCUGACCUCAGGUGAUCCACCUGCCUCGGCCUCCCAAAGUGCUGGCAUUACAGGCAUGAGCCACCGCACCCAGCCUUGUUUUCUGGGGUUUUGUUGAGACGAGGUCUCACUCUGUCACACAGGCUGGAGUGUAGUGGUGCGAUCCCAGCUCACUGCAGCUUUAAACUCCUGGGCUCAAGCAAUCCUUUUGCCUCAGCUAGCAUGCUCAGUUAAUUUUUAAAUAUUUUUUGUAGACAUGGGGUCUUGCUAUGUUGCCUAGGCUGGUCUUAAACUCCUGGCUUCAAGCAAUCCUUCCUCCUUGGCCUCCCAAAGUGGUAGGAUUAUAGGUGUAAGCUCUCCUGCCCAGCCGGCAAGGGCUUUAAAGUGUUAUGUUAUUUUAUAGUUUUAGGAGGUUUUGUAGCUCUCUAUGAUGAAGUUUAAAAAUUAAGAAAAAAAGCUUGUUUUUGAUUAAUCAAAAUCUCAGCACAGAAAUGGGACAUUUCAUCAGAGAAAUAGAUACAAUGAAGAAGAGCCAAAUGGAAAGCCCCCUUUUUUGGUUGCUCUUUUUCUGCUUUCAAGGUUUAUAUUAGCUUGACUUAGAUGUGCCUUGGAGUGGACUUCGUUAUGUCCCUUCUGCUUAGUGUUUGUCUAAUAUCUUGAAUCUGCAAAUCUCUGACUUUCAUUACAGCUGGGAAGUGUUUGGUUAUUAUUUCUUUAAAUAUUUUUUCUACUUGAGUUUCCUCUCUCCCUCUGAGAUUUCAAUUACAUGUAUGUUUGUUUGAUAUCAUCUAACAAGUCUCUGAGAUUUUGUUCAUUAUGUUCUAAAUCUUUUUCCACUCUGUUACUGAUUUUGAGUAAUUUUGAUUGAUCUGUCUUAAAAUUUACUCUUUCCUUUAACAUGUCCACUUGGCUGUUAACUCCAUCUGGUGAAUUUUCUACUUAAGAAAUUAUACUUUUCAGCUGUAGAAUUUACAUGAAGAAGUACAUUAUCAACUGUAAAUGGGCCAUGAAAAGUUAAGGUUGAAUUUUGUAAUUUAUAAAUCAACUAUUAAACAGUGCAGAAUAGCUGUAAAGCAUCAGGAAAAUUAAAAUAGAAUAUAUCUUAAAAUAUUACGUAAUUUUUAAAGGCGGGAAAUAAGAAAUGAAGAAACAAAUGUCAGAGGAGACAAAUAGAAAACAAAAUAAAACAAAAAUGAUAGACUCAUACCCAACCAUUUCAAAAAUUACAUUAAACAUUUAUGAGCUAAACACUCCAAUUAAAAGAUAGAGAUUAAUAAUUGUUUUUAAAUGGGUACAAAAACAAUUAUAACAUCUCACCAAAGAAGAUACACAGAUGCCAAAAAAUUUGAAAAGCUGUUUAAUAGUAUAUGUUAUUAGGUAAUUACAAAUUAAAACAACAAUGAGAUACCACUACACAUCUACUAGAAUAGCCAAAAUUCAAAAUGCUAACAACACCAAAUGCUGGUAAGGAUGUGGAACAACAGAAACUGUCAUUCAUUGUUGAUGGGAAUGCAAAAUGGUUUGGCCACUUUGAAAGACAGUUUUGACAGUUUCUUGCAAAACGAAACAUACUUUUACCAUAUGAUUCAACAAUCUUACUCCUGAGUAUUUACCCAAAUGAGCUGAAAACUUAUGUCCACACAAAACCCUGCACAUGGAUGUUUAUAGCAACUUUAUUCAUAAUUGCCAAAAGCUGGAAGCAAUCAAGAUGUCCUUCAGUAGGCAAAUGGAUAAACCGUGAUAUAUCCAGACAAUGGAAUAUUAUUCAGUGUUAAAAAGAAAUGAGCUGUCAAGCCAUGAAGACAUGGAGGAAUGUUAAAUGCAUAUUACUAGCUGAAAAAAGCCAAUUUGAAAGGGCUGUGUACUGGAUGGGUCAAACUAUAUGACAUUCUGGAAAAGGCAAAACCAUGGAGACAAAAAGAUCAGUAGUUGCCAAGGGUUGGGCAGAGGCAAGGAUGAAUAGAUGAAACAUAGAUUUUUAAAGGAGUGCAACUAUUCUAUAUGAUACUGUCAUGGUGGCUACAUGUACAUAAAUACAUUAGACAUUUGUCAAAACUCAUAGAAUGUAUAAUACCAAGAGCAAACUCUAACGUAAACUACGGACUUUGGAUAAUAAUGAUACAUCAGUGUAGGUUCAUUGAUUGUAGCAAAUGCACCACUCUGGUAUGGGAUGUUGAUAGUGGGGAGGCCAUAUGUGUAGGGGUAGGGGGUGUGUGGGAACUCUCUGUACUUUCAUCUCAAUUUAGCUGUGAAUCUAAAACUGCUCUAAAAAAAUAAAAUCCAUUUUUUAAAAACCUAAAUAUAAACUAUGUGCAAAGACAUACUUUCAAUAUAAAGACAGAAGGAAACCAAAUAUAGAUGGAUAGAAAAAGAUAUAUCAUGUAAAUACUAAGCACAAGAAAGCUGGAGUGGCUACAUUAGUAUCAAAUAAAAAUAGAUUUCUAAAAAAAAGUAUCAUAAAAGAUAAAGAAGGACACUUUAGAAGAAGAAAAGGAAUAAUUGAUCAAGAUGACAUAAAAUUUACAAAUUUAUUUGUGCCUAAUAAUAGUCUCAAAUUACAUAAGGCAAAAACUGAUAGAAUGAAAGGAAGAAAUAGGCAAUUAUAAUUGGAAAUUUUAAUGUCUCUCAGAAGUUGAUAGAGUAACCAACAAAAAAUCAGCAGACAGAAAACCUGAACAACAUUAUCAAUCACUUUGACCUAAUUAAUAUUUUUAGAACAUUUCACUCAGCAAUAGCAAAAUGCACAUUCUUUUCAAGUGCACAUGGAAUGCUUACCAAGAUAGACCAUAUUCUGGACUAUAAAAAAGUUUUAAUAAAUAUUAAAAAGGUUGAAAUCAAAUAGUUUGUUCUCUGACCACAAUGAAAUUAAAUUGGAAACCAAAAACAAUAAGAUAACUAGGAAAACCCCAAGUAUUUGGAAACUAAGCAACACACUUCUAAAUAUUUAUUGGGCUAAAGACUAAAUCACAAGAGAGAUUGAAAAUAUUUUGCCCUGAUGAUAAUAUAAAUACACAUUUCAAAAUUUGUGCAAUGUAGCUAACAUAGCACUUUGAGGGAAAUUUACAGUUUUGAAAGCCUAUACGAAGUGGGGAAAGUUCUUAAAUCAAUGAUCUUAAUUUUCACUGUUAAAAAAUAGAAAAAAAGAGUAAAUUGAACUCAAAGCAAGCAGAGCAAGAAAAUAAUAAAGAUAAUGACAGACAUCAAUGAAUUAGAGAACGAAAAAAAGAGAUAAAAAAAUCAUUAAAAGCAAAAAGCAGUCCUUUGAAAAAACUAAUAAAAUUGAUAAAUCUCAAGCCUGACUGGCAAAGAAAAAAAAAAUGAACAAUAUCAAGAAUGAAAGAAGG
RNAcentral lists this long non-coding RNA (4431 nucleotides) under Pan troglodytes (chimpanzee). RNAcentral's name for it is "long non-coding RNA NONPTRT016652". The record is from RNAcentral. Lineage: Eukaryota; Metazoa; Chordata; Mammalia; Primates; Hominidae.